AGGUUAAUGAGGCGAACCGGGGGAACUGAAACAUCUAAGUACCCCGAGGAAAAGAAAUCAACCGAGAUUCCCCCAGUAGCGGCGAGCGAACGGGGAGGAGCCCAGAGCCUGAAUCAGUGUGUGUGUUAGUGGAAGCGUCUGGAAAGGCGCGCGAUACAGGGUGACAGCCCCGUACACAAAAAUGCACAUACUGUGAGCUCGAUGAGUAGGGCGGGACACGUGGUAUCCUGUCUGAAUAUGGGGGGACCAUCCUCCAAGGCUAAAUACUCCUGACUGACCGAUAGUGAACCAGUACCGUGAGGGAAAGGCGAAAAGAACCCCGGCGAGGGGAGUGAAAAAGAACCUGAAACCGUGUACGUACAAGCAGUGGGAGCCUCUUUAUGGGGUGACUGCGUACCUUUUGUAUAAUGGGUCAGCGACUUAUAUUCUGUAGCAAGGUUAACCGAAUAGGGGAGCCGAAGGGAAACCGAGUCUUAACUGGGCGUUAAGUUGCAGGGUAUAGACCCGAAACCCGGUGAUCUAGCCAUGGGCAGGUUGAAGGUUGGGUAACACUAACUGGAGGACCGAACCGACUAAUGUUGAAAAAUUAGCGGAUGACUUGUGGCUGGGGGUGAAAGGCCAAUCAAACCGGGAGAUAGCUGGUUCUCCCCGAAAGCUAUUUAGGUAGCGCCUCGUGAAUUCAUCUCCGGGGGUAGAGCACUGUUUCGGCAAGGGGGUCAUCCCGACUUACCAACCCGAUGCAAACUGCGAAUACCGGAGAAUGUUAUCACGGGAGACACACGGCGGGUGCUAACGUCCGUCGUGAAGAGGGAAACAACCCAGACCGCCAGCUAAGGUCCCAAAGUCAUGGUUAAGUGGGAAACGAUGUGGGAAGGCCCAGACAGCCAGGAUGUUGGCUUAGAAGCAGCCAUCAUUUAAAGAAAGCGUAAUAGCUCACUGGUCGAGUCGGCCUGCGCGGAAGAUGUAACGGGGCUAAACCAUGCACCGAAGCUGCGGCAGCGACACUAUGUGUUGUUGGGUAGGGGAGCGUUCUGUAAGCCUGCGAAGGUGUACUGUGAGGUAUGCUGGAGGUAUCAGAAGUGCGAAUGCUGACAUAAGUAACGAUAAAGCGGGUGAAAAGCCCGCUCGCCGGAAGACCAAGGGUUCCUGUCCAACGUUAAUCGGGGCAGGGUGAGUCGACCCCUAAGGCGAGGCCGAAAGGCGUAGUCGAUGGGAAACAGGUUAAUAUUCCUGUACUUGGUGUUACUGCGAAGGGGGGACGGAGAAGGCUAUGUUGGCCGGGCGACGGUUGUCCCGGUUUAAGCGUGUAGGCUGGUUUUCCAGGCAAAUCCGGAAAAUCAAGGCUGAGGCGUGAUGACGAGGCACUACGGUGCUGAAGCAACAAAUGCCCUGCUUCCAGGAAAAGCCUCUAAGCAUCAGGUAACAUCAAAUCGUACCCCAAACCGACACAGGUGGUCAGGUAGAGAAUACCAAGGCGCUUGAGAGAACUCGGGUGAAGGAACUAGGCAAAAUGGUGCCGUAACUUCGGGAGAAGGCACGCUGAUAUGUAGGUGAAGCGACUUGCUCGUGGAGCUGAAAUCAGUCGAAGAUACCAGCUGGCUGCAACUGUUUAUUAAAAACACAGCACUGUGCAAACACGAAAGUGGACGUAUACGGUGUGACGCCUGCCCGGUGCCGGAAGGUUAAUUGAUGGGGUUAGCGGUAACGCGAAGCUCUUGAUCGAAGCCCCGGUAAACGGCGGCCGUAACUAUAACGGUCCUAAGGUAGCGAAAUUCCUUGUCGGGUAAGUUCCGACCUGCACGAAUGGCGUAAUGAUGGCCAGGCUGUCUCCACCCGAGACUCAGUGAAAUUGAACUCGCUGUGAAGAUGCAGUGUACCCGCGGCAAGACGGAAAGACCCCGUGAACCUUUACUAUAGCUUGACACUGAACAUUGAGCCUUGAUGUGUAGGAUAGGUGGGAGGCUUUGAAGUGUGGACGCCAGUCUGCAUGGAGCCGACCUUGAAAUACCACCCUUUAAUGUUUGAUGUUCUAACGUUGACCCGUAAUCCGGGUUGCGGACAGUGUCUGGUGGGUAGUUUGACUGGGGCGGUCUCCUCCUAAAGAGUAACGGAGGAGCACGAAGGUUGGCUAAUCCUGGUCGGACAUCAGGAGGUUAGUGCAAUGGCAUAAGCCAGCUUGACUGCGAGCGUGACGGCGCGAGCAGGUGCGAAAGCAGGUCAUAGUGAUCCGGUGGUUCUGAAUGGAAGGGCCAUCGCUCAACGGAUAAAAGGUACUCCGGGGAUAACAGGCUGAUACCGCCCAAGAGUUCAUAUCGACGGCGGUGUUUGGCACCUCGAUGUCGGCUCAUCACAUCCUGGGGCUGAAGUAGGUCCCAAGGGUAUGGCUGUUCGCCAUUUAAAGUGGUACGCGAGCUGGGUUUAGAACGUCGUGAGACAGUUCGGUCCCUAUCUGCCGUGGGCGCUGGAGAACUGAGGGGGGCUGCUCCUAGUACGAGAGGACCGGAGUGGACGCAUCACUGGUGUUCGGGUUGUCAUGCCAAUGGCACUGCCCGGUAGCUAAAUGCGGAAGAGAUAAGUGCUGAAAGCAUCUAAGCACGAAACUUGCCCCGAGAUGAGUUCUCCCUGACUCCUUGAGAGUCCUGAAGGAACGUUGAAGACGACGACGUUGAUAGGCCGGGUGUGUAAGCGCAGCGAUGCGUUGAGCUAACCGGUACUAAUGAACCGUGAGGCUUAACCUUACAACGCCGAAG
RNAcentral lists this ribosomal RNA (2750 nucleotides) under Escherichia coli. RNAcentral's name for it is "partial 23S ribosomal RNA". It matches the Rfam family "Bacterial large subunit ribosomal RNA". Lineage: Bacteria; Pseudomonadati; Pseudomonadota; Gammaproteobacteria; Enterobacterales; Enterobacteriaceae. The record is from RNAcentral.